AUGGGGAGAGGGAUUUCUCCAAGAGACAAAGACCGGGGAGACGCGCGGGGUAACACUUCCACAAUAUUUACAGGCAAAGGCACCACCCCCAGGCCUCUUCCUUCCCCACCUCAAGCCAUCCGGAGCAAUUCUGGGCAGAUGGGGGCAGUGGGGGAGGGGGAGAGGCAAGCCGGGGCCCACCGUGGAGGCAGGAGGGGCAGUGGCGUCCGCGGGCCAGAGGUCCCACCCCAUCCGAGGCCGGGGCAGGGAGGGGGCGGCCCGGGGCUCCAGGGAGGAGGGGGCCCGCCGGGCAGACCCCUCCCGCCUCCGCCGGCGACGAGAAAUAUCGCGAUAACUCUCCCCCCAUCUCCAUCCUGCUCACUCCUCCGGGGCUUCCCCCCGAGCCCGGGUCAGAGGAUCGGGGACCCCAGUUACCCGGCGGCCGCUCCUACCUUCCCUAGAGUCAAACUUUCGGCGGGGCCCAAGGAGGGGUGUUCCGGGGAAAGAGGCUCCGCCGGGGUGGCUCGGGGAGGGGGCGGGGCGCCCAGUCCCGGGCCAGGGGGGGAAAGGGACCCGCUGGGGGGGUGCCCGGAAGGCCGGAGACCCCGGGCGAGGAGGAGCGCCCUCCCCCGGCCCCGCGGCGAUCGAAAAGCCCUGUCGCCCGGCCCCCGGCCUCAAGUCCUGGCGCGUCUACGACGCCCCGGUGCCCACGGAAGGAGCGGAGCGCGCCCCCUCCCCAAACCCGAGGGGGCGGUAGGGCAGGGCCAGGGGCCGCCCGGCUCGCGGGGCCGGCCGGGGGGGCAGAGACCCGGCGCGGCGCGGAGCCCGCAGCCCCCGCGGCGGCCUCGGACCCUCCCCCUCGCUACCUUGGGAGCAGGUCUGCGAGGGGGCUGCGGCACAAAGAGGUGGUGGUCGAGGGAGACGCCAAAUCGCUACAAGGGGGAAUCCGCUUCGGCCAUCUUGGAAGGGAGGAAAGGGAAAAGGGGAGAGAAAAGGGAGAAAGAAAGGCGGACGGGGCGAGCCAGGAUAGGGGCUGGCGGGGUGGGGCGGGGACGCGAGGAGCAGGCCCGGCUCAGAGUCUCCCCCUCCCACAGGGGUGUGUAA
This 1083-nucleotide long non-coding RNA is filed under the name Canis lupus dingo (dingo). RNAcentral's name for it is "lncRNA (ENSCAFG00020023021.1)". The record is from RNAcentral. Lineage: Eukaryota; Metazoa; Chordata; Mammalia; Carnivora; Canidae.